CGUUAUGGCGGACCGUGCGGGCAGUCUUCGGACUGGCCGGUUCCUUUUGUCCCGGUACUGCUUCCCCGCACGGCCCGCCUCCCUU
This 85-nucleotide non-coding RNA is filed under the name Candidatus Kentrum sp. DK. The record is from RNAcentral. Lineage: Bacteria; Pseudomonadati; Pseudomonadota; Gammaproteobacteria.